UACGGAGGAUGCGAGCGUUAUCCGGAUUUAUUGGGUUUAAAGGGUGCGUGGGCGGGCAUUUAAGCCGGCGGUCAAAUGUCGGGGCUCAACCCCGGCCUGCCGUCGGAACUGGGUGCCUUGAGUGGGCGAGAAGUAUGCGGGAUGCGUGGUGUAGCGGUGAAAUGCAUAGAUAUCACGCAGAACCCCGAUUGCGAAGGCAGCAUACCGGCGCCCGACUGACGCUGAGGCACGAAAGUGCGGGUAUCGAACAGG
RNAcentral lists this ribosomal RNA (252 nucleotides) under uncultured bacterium. RNAcentral's name for it is "partial 16S ribosomal RNA". It matches the Rfam family "Bacterial small subunit ribosomal RNA", at positions 524 to 776 of the family's 1533-position model. The record is from RNAcentral.